This 1053-nucleotide long non-coding RNA is filed under the name Hordeum vulgare. Its description in RNAcentral is "long non-coding RNA (HVUL_LNC014461)". Lineage: Eukaryota; Viridiplantae; Streptophyta; Magnoliopsida; Poales; Poaceae. The record is from RNAcentral.
AUGUUCAAGACAGGUAGCAGACAUAACUUCUUUGUUAUAUAAUUCUGUGAUAGUUGAUGGUAUAUUACAUCUCUUCCUUGUUAUAAUUCUGUGAUAGUUGAUAAAACUUGCAGACAUAACUUCCUUGUUAUAUAAUUCUGUGAUAUAUUAGUUAAAUUUUGGGAGAUUCACCAUGUGGAGGCAGUGGUUCAACUCAGAUCCUUUUGCAAACGAUGUUAUAUUUGAUAACAUAACGUCGAAUGCUCUAGAAUUCAGAUCUUUAGUUAGUUUUAAACUUGUAAACGUUAUGUUUUAUCAAACUUGCAGAAGUUAUAUCUUUAGUUAGAUUCACCAUGUGGAGGCAGUGGUUCAACUCAUAUUCUUUUGCAAACUAAUAUAUCUAACCAGAAGGUUCAUUGUUCAACACUUCAUGUUCAUUGUUCUAUGAUAAAAUAACAACCCGUCGUCCUCUUCGUUAAUCAAGCCAUCCAUCCAUGUUCAGUGUACUCAUGGAUCAAACUAAGAUAAAUAGCAGAACAGAGCACAGGUGAAGUAGAGCUAUCUAAAGGCACAGGUUCAUUGCCAUGCCCAUCCCUGGGUUGAGUAUGAUCCAUCUCUGGCACUUGCAGAUGGUUCAGAUGAUGCCUAGCCAAGAAACAGUCCUGCCUGGUUGCCCUUAACCUGGAAACACAAUUUCAAUGAACAUCAGUAGUGUAGCAUUAGAUAGCAAUGUUACGUCUCCUUGAAACAAUGUGUGUGCAGAUCAAAAACAUAUGUUUUCUGAUUAUGGGUGAUCUACUUGACAGUUACACUGACUGCUGUUUGUUUUGUUUUGUUCCGCAGCCUGCAGCUAUGAGAUCGUUGCACUGGCAACAAGCACCCAAUGAAGAAAAGCGCAGUCGGUGUUAGCCCCUUAGAUCUGCCAGAAAGUGGUUCAUCUCAUAAACUGGCAUUUUACCAGCACUCGUUUUGAGCCUCCUGCUGAUCUUAUGUCAUGUAAAAUAAAGCAAACUAGGUUGACCUUAUUUGGGAGUCGCUUUCUAUUUUCAAUGCCUACUUGUUGCACAAAUGGAA